CAAACAUUUUUUCUUCUCAGAGUCAAUAGGAGUAGUUGAUAGGUUUUGAUUGUGGCAGGUCUGCUCUGAUCUCUGUUUUCUGGCUGACUUAUCAAACUGUUGAGAGGCCAAAGGCAACUGGUGUUUAAUUACAAGCAACACAGAUUUGUGGACAUAAAAAAGAAGCAGUAGCAGGAAACCUGUAAGUUGUCAACCUUCUGUCAAGAAACAGGAAAGAAUCCUCUGCAGAGAAGUUGAAUCAGUGAUUGGUAUAAAUGUAGGAAAUUUAGGUGCUCCUUAAAUCGAUUAGUAGGAAAACCUGGAAGAGGGGAAAAAAGAAGAAUCAAGGGGGUAAAGGACUUGGAAGAAAAAAAAAGAGGAAGAGUACCAUAAUGAAACUGUGAGAAGGUGAUUAUGUCUAUAAGUCUAAGGAGCUUUUGACUGGUGCUUUGGUCAGGAAUUGAUACUAUAAUGGUUUUUGGAAAGUAAAUAAGGAAAAUUACACCUA
Molecule: long non-coding RNA, 487 nt
Filed under: Parus major (Great Tit)
Lineage: Eukaryota; Metazoa; Chordata; Aves; Passeriformes; Paridae
Description: lncRNA (ENSPMJG00000003617.1)
Source: RNAcentral